This 468-nucleotide ribosomal RNA is filed under the name uncultured bacterium. RNAcentral describes it as "partial 16S ribosomal RNA". It matches the Rfam family "Bacterial small subunit ribosomal RNA", at positions 28 to 507 of the family's 1533-position model. The record is from RNAcentral.
GACGAACGCUGGCGGCGUGCUUAACACAUGCAAGUCGAACGGAAAGGCCCUGCUUUUGUGGGGUGCUCGAGUGGCGAACGGGUGAGUAACACGUGAGUAACCUGCCCUUGACUUUGGGAUAACUUCAGGAAACUGGGGCUAAUACCGGAUAGGAGCUCCUGCUGCAGGGUGGGGGUUGGAAAGUUUCGGCGGUUGGGGAUGGACUCGCGGCUUAUCAGCUUGUUGGUGGGGUAGUGGCUUACCAAGGCUUUGACGGGUAGCCGGCCUGGGAGGGUGGCCGGCCACAUUGGGACUGAGAUACGGCCCAGACUCCUACGGGAGGCAGCAGUGGGGAAUAUUGCCCAAUGGGCGGAAGCCUGAUGCAGCAACGCCGCGUGCGGGAUGACGGCCUUCGGGUUGUAAACCGCUUUCGCCUGUGACGAAGCGUGAGUGACGGUAAUGGGUAAAGAAGCACCGGCUAACUACGUG